UACGGGGGGGGCAAGCGUUGUCCGGAAUUACUGGGGGUAAAGGGUUCGUAGGCGGCCAAUUAAGUCGGAUGUGAAAUCCCCAGGCUUAACCUGGGAACUGCAUCCGAUACUGGAUGGCUUGAAUUCGGGAGAGGGAUGCAGAAUUCCAGGUGUAGCGGUGAAAUGCGUAGAUAUCUGGAGGAAUACCGGUGGCGAAGGCGGCAUCCUGGACCGAGAUUGACGCUGAUGAGCGAAAGCGAGGGGAGCAAACGGG
RNAcentral lists this ribosomal RNA (253 nucleotides) under uncultured bacterium. RNAcentral describes it as "partial 16S ribosomal RNA". It matches the Rfam family "Bacterial small subunit ribosomal RNA", at positions 524 to 776 of the family's 1533-position model. The record is from RNAcentral.